AUUGAACGCUGGCGGCAUGCUUUACACAUGCAAGUCGAGCGGCAGCGCGGGGGGCAACCCUGGCGGCGAGCGGCGAACGGGUGAGUAAUGCAUCGGAACGUAUCCUGUAGUGGGGAAUAACUCACCGAAAGGUGAGCUAAUACCGCAUAAGCUCUGAGGAGGAAAGCGGGGGGACCGAAAGGCCUCGCGCUGCAGGAGCGGCCGAUGUCCGAUUAGCUAGUUGGUGAGGUAAAGGCUCACCAAGGCGACGAUCGGUAGCUGGUCUGAGAGGAUGAUCAGCCACACUGGGACUGAGACACGGCCCAGACUCCUACGGGAGGCAGCAGUGGGGAAUUUUGGACAAUGGGGGAAACCCUGAUCCAGCCAUGCCGCGUGAGUGAAGAAGGCCUUCGGGUUGUAAGCUCUUUCGGUACGGACGAAAUUAGCUUGGACUAAUACUCUGAGUAGAUGACGGUACCGUAAGAAGAAG
This 469-nucleotide ribosomal RNA is filed under the name uncultured bacterium. Its description in RNAcentral is "bacterial SSU rRNA". It matches the Rfam family "Bacterial small subunit ribosomal RNA", at positions 29 to 490 of the family's 1533-position model. The record is from RNAcentral.